AGAGUUUGAUCCUGGCUCAGGAUGAACGCUGGCGGCAUGCCUAAUACAUGCAAGUCGAACGGAAGGAAGUAGAAGCUUGCUUCUAUGGAAUUCAGUGGCGAACGGGUGAGUAACACGUAGGUAACCUGCCCAUGUACCCGGGACAACGUCUGGAAACGGAUGCUAAAACCGGAUAGGUAAGAGAUCCGCAUGGAACUCUUAUUAAAGGAGCCUCAAAAGCUCUGAACAUGGAUGGACCCGCGGUGCAUUAGCUAGCUGGUGAGGUAACGGCUCACCAGGGCAACGAUGCAUAGCCGACCUGAGAGGGCGGACGGCCACAUUGGGACUGAGACACGGCCCAAACUCCUACGGGAGGCAGCAGUAGGGAAUUUUCGUCAAUGGGGGGAACCCUGAACGAGCAAUGCCGCGUGAGUGAAGACGGUCUUCGGAUUGUAAAGCUCUGUUGCAGGUGAGAAACGGGCAGGACAGGAAAUGGUCCUGCAGUGAUAUCAGCCUGCCGGAAAGUCACGGCUAACUACGUGCCAGCAGCCGCGGUAAUACGUAGGUGGCGAGCGUUAUCCGGAAUGAUUGGGCGUAAAGGGUGCGUAGGUGGCGCGGUAAGUCUGAAGUAAAAGGCAUCAGCUCAACUGAUGUUGGCUUUGGAAACUGCCGGGCUAGAGUGCAGAAGAGGGCGAUGGAACUCCAUGUGUAGCGGUAAAAUGCGUAGAUAUAUGGAAGAACACCAGUGGCGAAGGCGGUCGCCUGGUCUGCAACUGACACUGAAGCACGAAAGCGUGGGGAGCAAAUAGGAUUAGAUACCCUAGUAGUCCACGCCGUAAACGAUGAGAACUAAGUGUUGGGGGAAUAACUCAGUGCUGCAGUUAACGCAAUAAGUUCUCCGCCUGGGGAGUAUGCACGCAAGUGUGAAACUCAAAGGAAUUGACGGGGGCCCGCACAAGCGGUGGAGUAUGUGGUUUAAUUCGAAGCAACGCGAAGAACCUUACCUGCCCUUGACAUCCCGGUGACCACAGAGUAAUGUCCGUUUUCCUUCGGGACACCGGAGACAGGUGGUGCAUGGUUGUCGUCAGCUCGUGUCGUGAGAUGUUGGGUUAAGUCCCGCAACGAGCGCAACCCCUAUCUUCAGUAGCCAGCGGUAUGGCCGGGCACUCUGGAGAGACUGCCAGGGAUAACCUGGAGGAAGGUGGGGAUGACGUCAAAUCAUCAUGCCCCUUAUGGGCAGGGCUACACACGUGCUACAAUGGCGUAAACAAAGGGAGGCAGAGCCGCGAGGCCGAGCAAAUCCCAAAAAUAACGUCUCAGUUCGGAUUGUAGUCUGCAACUCGACUACAUGAAGCUGGAAUCGCUAGUAAUCGCGAAUCAGAAUGUCGCGGUGAAUACGUUCCCGGGUCUUGUACACACCGCCCGUCACACCAUGGGAGUCAGUAACGCCCGAAGUCAGUGACCCAACCGCAAGGAGGGAGCUGCCGAAGGCGGGACCGAUAACUGGGGUGAAGUCGUAACAAGGUAACC
RNAcentral lists this ribosomal RNA (1509 nucleotides) under uncultured bacterium. RNAcentral's name for it is "bacterial SSU rRNA". It matches the Rfam family "Bacterial small subunit ribosomal RNA". The record is from RNAcentral.